Molecule: ribosomal RNA, 220 nt
Filed under: uncultured bacterium
Lineage: Bacteria
Description: partial 16S ribosomal RNA
Rfam family: Bacterial small subunit ribosomal RNA
Source: RNAcentral
GACGAACGCUGGCGGCGUGCUUAACACAUGCAAGUCGAGCGGUAAGGCCCUUUCGGGGUACACGAGCGGCGAACGGGUGAGUAACACGUGGGUGACCUGCCCUCAGCUCUGGGAUAAGCCUGGGAAACCGGGUCUAAUACUGGAUAUGACUCCAUGACGCAUGUUGUGAGGUGGAAAGCCUUGUGCGGCUGAGGAUGGGCCCGCGGCCUAUCAGCUUGUU